UGGAGCAUGUGGUUAAUUCGAAGCAACGCGAAGAACCUUACCAGGUCUUGACAUCCCGAUGCUAUUCUAGAGAUAGAAAGUUACUUCGGUACAUCGGUGACAGGUGGUGCAUGGUUGUCGUCAGCUCGUGUCGUGAGAUGUUGGGUUAAGUCCCGCAACGAGCGCAACCCCUAUUGUUAGUUGCCAUCAUUCAGUUGGGCACUCUAGCGAGACUGCCGGUAAUAAACCGGAGAAGUGGGGAUGACGUCAAAUCAUCAUGCCCCUUAUGACCUGGGCUACACACGUGCUACAAUGGUUGGUACAACGAGUUGCGAGUCGGUGACGGCGAGCUAAUCUCUUAAAGCCAAUCUCAGUUCGGAUUGUAGGCUGCAACUCGCCUACAUGAAGUCGGAAUCGCUAGUAAUCGCGGAUCAGCACGCCGCGGUGAAUACGUUCCCGGGUUUU
This 444-nucleotide ribosomal RNA is filed under the name uncultured Streptococcus sp. RNAcentral's name for it is "bacterial SSU rRNA". It matches the Rfam family "Bacterial small subunit ribosomal RNA", at positions 933 to 1382 of the family's 1533-position model. Lineage: Bacteria; Bacillati; Bacillota; Bacilli; Lactobacillales; Streptococcaceae. The record is from RNAcentral.